This 245-nucleotide long non-coding RNA is filed under the name Elaeis guineensis (African oil palm). Its description in RNAcentral is "long non-coding RNA (EGUI_LNC016440)". The record is from RNAcentral. Lineage: Eukaryota; Viridiplantae; Streptophyta; Magnoliopsida; Arecales; Arecaceae.
AAGUGUUCGUUGUCCUGCAAUUCUUCUCUAUUAGACCUUUACUGCAUCACCAUCCAAAUGAUGAGACAAUUAUCCAUUUCGAACUUGUUCCAAGCUAUUCAUCACAUUGUUCAUUAUACUUCUUAGAGUCAAAACUAUCAUUGUGAUGCGACUUCCUACUUAAUUUGGCAACCCUUGGAAGAGAGUUCUUAUUAUUUCCACAAACAAGUCAUGGCUAAUCCUUUUACGAAAGGAGAAAAAAACAA